AUGGCUAGUAAUUGGAGUUUCAGACAAUUUGGGGAGGUAAUUUGUAGCCAAUAUCCUUGGGGUUUGCUUGAUGAAGUGGUAUACAAAUACUAUAAUGGGGAAAAGAAUUGGGUGACAGUUAGUAAUGAUGAAGAGCUAGCUACCAUGUUUGUUAGGCAUAAAGAGAAAGAUAAUUUUCAUGUGAGGCUGCAAGUUGAUGUGCUUGAGCAGGCAUUUGGACCUAGGAUGGCGGGUGCAACAUCUCGGGGAGAAUCAAGUCGUCGUAAUGGCAUCUCUAGCCAGAACAGUUCAGUUCGUGUGCGGCGACGUGGUGGCUCGACAAGUGUGGGCAACAGCAGUAGGGUCCCCCUUGAAGUGGAGCCUGAUGGCUACAAUUCUGGGGUUGAUGAAGAGAAGUUAUAUUCUGAUGUUAUUCAGAAUUUACGACGGGCACCUCGGGCUGAAAACCAAGAUGAGGCUCACAAUGCAGUCCGUGUGGAUGAUGACGCGAUGGGUGAGGACGAAGACCUUGCAGCUGUUGAAUGGGACCCUUUGAACCCUCAAAUGGAAGAAGGUACAAUUUUUGCAUCCAUGAAUGAGUGUAGAAAUGCACUUGUGACAUACUGCAUCAAGGUAGAACGUACUUUCAAAGUUGACAAGAGCGAUCAAGUACGUUAUAGAGUGCACUGUCCGACUGAGGGUUGUCCAUGGAGGCUGCUUGCAGCUAAAAUGCGGAAUAGCACUAAUGUUCAGGUCAAAGUGAAUCCUUUUAAGCACACAUGCCAGGAAUCAACCCUUAGGAAGGAUACAAUCAGUAGAGCCAAGUCAAGAUGGGUGGCAGAAGAAGUAAAAAAGUGGGUGAAAGAAAACCAGCAAGUGGGUCCAAAGGAAUUGCAGAAGAACAUCAAAGAUAAGUUCAAGAUAGAUUUACCAUACAUGAGGUUGUUCAAUGGUAAACAACAUGCUAUGGGUCCAGCAGGGAACAUACAGCAAUGA
RNAcentral lists this ribosomal RNA (975 nucleotides) under Triticum aestivum (bread wheat). RNAcentral's name for it is "partial small subunit ribosomal RNA". Lineage: Eukaryota; Viridiplantae; Streptophyta; Magnoliopsida; Poales; Poaceae. The record is from RNAcentral.